This 253-nucleotide ribosomal RNA is filed under the name uncultured bacterium. RNAcentral describes it as "partial 16S ribosomal RNA". It matches the Rfam family "Bacterial small subunit ribosomal RNA", at positions 524 to 776 of the family's 1533-position model. The record is from RNAcentral.
GACGUAGGGCGCAAGCGUUGUCCGGAUUUAUUGGGCGUAAAGAGCUCGUAGGCGGCUUGUCGCGUCGACCGUGAAAACCCGCAGCUCAACUGCGGGCUUGCGGUCGAUACGGGCAGGCUCGAGUUCGGUAGGGGAGACUGGAAUUCCUGGUGUAGCGGUGAAAUGCGCAGAUAUCAGGAGGAACACCGGUGGCGAAGGCGGGUCUCUGGGCAGUAACUGACGCUGAGAAGCGAAAGCGUGGGGAGCGAACAGG